UUGAACGCUGGCGGCAGGCCUAACACAUGCAAGUCGAGCGGAUGAAGGGAGCUUUCUCCUGGAUUCAGCGGCGGACGGGUGAGUAAUGCCUAGGAAUCUGCCUGGUAGUGGGGGAUAACGUCCGGAAACGGGCGCUAAUACCGCAUACGUCCUGAGGGAGAAAGUGGGGGAUCUUCGGACCUCACGCUCUCAGAUGAGCCUAGGUCGGAUUAGCUAGUUGGUGGGGUAAAGGCCUACCAAGGCGACGAUCCGUAACUGGUCUGAGAGGAUGAUCAGUCACACUGGAACUGAGACACGGUCCAGACUCCUACGGGAGGCAGCAGUGGGGAAUAUUGGACAAUGGGCGAAAGCCUGAUCCAGCCAUGCCGCGUGUGUGAAGAAGGUCUUCGGAUUGUAAAGCACUUUAAGUUGGGAGGAAGGGCAGUAAGUUAAUACCUUGCUGUUUUGACGUUACCAACAGAAUAAGCACCGGCUAACUUCGUG
RNAcentral lists this ribosomal RNA (483 nucleotides) under uncultured bacterium. RNAcentral describes it as "partial 16S ribosomal RNA". It matches the Rfam family "Bacterial small subunit ribosomal RNA", at positions 30 to 507 of the family's 1533-position model. The record is from RNAcentral.